Molecule: ribosomal RNA, 940 nt
Filed under: bacterium IARFR2083
Lineage: Bacteria
Description: bacterial SSU rRNA
Rfam family: Bacterial small subunit ribosomal RNA
Source: RNAcentral
GUCGAGGGGCAGCAUUUUAGUUUGCUUGCAAACUGAAGAUGGCGACCGGCGCACGGGUGAGUAACACGUAUCCAACCUGCCGAUAACUCCGGGAUAGCCUUUCGAAAGAAAGAUUAAUACCGGAUGGCAUACUAAUAUCGCAUGAUAUUUCUAUUAAAGAAUUUCGGUUAUCGAUGGGGAUGCGUUCCAUUAGUUUGUUGGCGGGGUAACGGCCCACCAAGACUACGAUGGAUAGGGGUUCUGAGAGGAAGGUCCCCCACAUUGGAACUGAGACACGGUCCAAACUCCUACGGGAGGCAGCAGUGAGGAAUAUUGGUCAAUGGGCGAGAGCCUGAACCAGCCAAGUAGCGUGAAGGAUGAAUGCUCUAUGGGUCGUAAACUUCUUUUAUAUGGGAAUAAAGUAUUCCACGUGUGGAAUUUUGUAUGUACCAUAUGAAUAAGGAUCGGCUAACUCCGUGCCAGCAGCCGCGGUAAUACGGAGGAUCCGAGCGUUAUCCGGAUUUAUUGGGUUUAAAGGGAGCGUAGGUGGAUUGUUAAGUCAGUUGUGAAAGUUUGCGGCUCAACCGUAAAAUUGCAGUUGAAACUGGCAGUCUUGAGUACAGUAGAGGUGGGCGGAAUUCGUGGUGUAGCGGUGAAAUGCUUAGAUAUCACGAAGAACUCCGAUUGCGAAGGCAGCUCACUAGACUGUCACUGACACUGAUGCUCGAAAGUGUGGGUAUCAAACAGGAUUAGAUACCCUGGUAGUCCACACAGUAAACGAUGAAUACUCGCUGUUUGCGAUAUACAGUAAGCGGCCAAGCGAAAGCAUUAAGUAUUCCACCUGGGGAGUACGCCGGCAACGGUGAAACUCAAAGGAAUUGACGGGGGCCCGCACAAGCGGAGGAACAUGUGGUUUAAUUCGAUGAUACGCGAGGAACCUUACCCGGGCUUAAAUUGCAUC